GGGGAAUUUUGCGCAAUGGGGGAAACCCUGACGCAGCAACGCCGCGUGGAGGAUGAAGCCCCUUGGGGCGUAAACUCCUUUCGACCAAGACGAUAAUGACGGUACUGGUGGAAGAAGCACCGGCUAACUCUGUGCCAGCAGCCGCGGUAAUACGGAGGGUGCGAGCGUUGUCCGGAAUCAUUGGGCGUAAAGGGCGCGUAGGUGGCCCGGUCAGUCUUUGGUGAAAGCGCGGGGCUCAACCCUGCGUCGGCCGGGGAUACUGCCGCGGCUCGAGCACUGUAGAGGCAGGCGGAAUUCCGGGUGUAGCGGUGGAAUGCGUAGAGAUCCGGAAGAACACCGGUGGCGAAGGCGGCCUGCUGGGCAGUUUGGCUGACACUGAGGCGCGACAGCGUGGGGAGCAAAC
RNAcentral lists this ribosomal RNA (403 nucleotides) under uncultured bacterium. Its description in RNAcentral is "bacterial SSU rRNA". It matches the Rfam family "Bacterial small subunit ribosomal RNA", at positions 356 to 773 of the family's 1533-position model. The record is from RNAcentral.